Molecule: ribosomal RNA, 230 nt
Filed under: uncultured bacterium
Lineage: Bacteria
Description: partial 16S ribosomal RNA
Rfam family: Bacterial small subunit ribosomal RNA
Source: RNAcentral
GACGAGCGCUGGCGGCGUGCUUAACACAUGCAAGUCGAACGCUGAAGCCUCUUCGGGGGUGGAUGAGUGGCGAACGGGUGAGUAACACGUGGGUGACCUGCCUCGAGCUCUGGGAUAAGCCUGGGAAACUGGGUCUAAUACCGGAUAUGACCUUUUGCCGCAUGGUGGGGGUGGUAAAGGUUUUUCGGCUCGAGAUGGGCCCGCGGCCUAUCAGCUUGUUGGUGGGGUGA